Molecule: long non-coding RNA, 673 nt
Organism: Lathyrus oleraceus (garden pea)
Lineage: Eukaryota; Viridiplantae; Streptophyta; Magnoliopsida; Fabales; Fabaceae
Exons: 4
Source: RefSeq, a predicted model, not a curated record
UCUAACCGGAUAGGGGUUUUUGAUGUCAUCCUUUUAUAAUUAGGUUUUAGAAUACUGUGAAUCGUACGUACCGAUGAAAAUUUUGGUCACGACGACUCUUUUGCUCCGGCUCCGGCGACUAUGACGGCUAGAAAACGUUGUAGCUUCGACUCAGUUGUGAAAUUGCAAAAUGAUCAUGAGGUUCGGAAGUGAAGACUGGUUGAUUUGUGAUUAGGCUCUGCGUGCGUGAAGAAUGAAUGAAGGGAGCUUUCUGAUGUAGAAUGGAGGAUUGGUGCAGAACUGUGGAAAACUGAUGUAGAAGUAGAGGUUGAAGAAGACUUGUUGCAGAUUAAUCAAGAAACUGAGAGGGUGAAGAUCGAAUGAUUGGAGAUGGAGAUUGAAGAGUGAAAAAUGCAGAAUUUUCUUCCUCCUAUGAAUGCUUCAAUUAUGGAAUUCAUCUAAAGUUCACAUUAAAUUCAGAGUCAUGGUUGGAUUGAAGUUAUAUGGAAUGGCUAUUUGUGGAUUGAAGACGACCUGUUAGUGCAAGUUCUACUGCAAGUCGUAUGUUAUAAUCAAGUACUUGGCAAGUGUUUUGUUGCAGGAUUAUAGAGUGAAGUUAGAAGGGGUUCUCAAGCUCAGUUAGGAAGAUGUUUUUUUUUUGCAGGAUUGGUUAUGGGUUCUGUUUCAAGUUGGU